This 67-nucleotide transfer RNA is filed under the name Lepidonotus sp. YZ-2018. RNAcentral's name for it is "tRNA-Val". The record is from RNAcentral. Lineage: Eukaryota; Metazoa; Annelida; Polychaeta; Phyllodocida; Polynoidae.
CAAAGUACAGCAUGAUCUAUGCAUCUCUUUUACACUGAGAAGAUAAUAUUUUUACUAUUUACUUUGC